This 492-nucleotide ribosomal RNA is filed under the name uncultured bacterium. RNAcentral describes it as "partial 16S ribosomal RNA". It matches the Rfam family "Bacterial small subunit ribosomal RNA", at positions 29 to 507 of the family's 1533-position model. The record is from RNAcentral.
AGCGAACGCUGGCGGUAGGCCUAACACAUGCAAGUCGAACGGCAUCAUAGUAAGAGCUUGCUCUUACGGGUGGCGAGUGGCGGACGGGUGAGGAAUACACCGGAAUCUACUUUUUCGUGGGGGAUAAUGCAGGGAAACUUACGCUAAUACCGCAUACGACCUACUGGUGAAAGCAGGGGAUCUUCGGACCUUUUGCGAUUGAAUGAGCCGAUGUCGGAUUAGCUAGUUGGCGGGGCAAAGGCCCACCAAGGCGACGAUCCGUAGCUGGACUGAGAGGAAGAACAGCUACACUGGAACUGAGACGCAGCCCCGACUCUUACGAGAGGACACAGUCGAGAAUCUUAGGCAAUGGGCGCGUGCCUGAUCCAGCCCUACCGCGUAAGUGAAGAAGGCGUUCGGGUUGUAAAGCCCUUUUGUUGGGAAAGAAAAACAGUAGGUUAAUCCCGCGCUAUUAUGACGGUACCCAAAGAAUAAGCACCGGCUAACUUCGUG